GCCUUCGUGGUGUAGUGGUCAGUACGCAGAGCCCGUAUUCGAGAGGUCUGUGGUUCGAGUCCCGGCGAGGGCA
This 73-nucleotide transfer RNA is filed under the name Stegodyphus mimosarum. It matches the Rfam family "tRNA". From Rfam's summary of the family: Transfer RNA (tRNA) molecules are approximately 80 nucleotides in length. The record is from Rfam by way of RNAcentral. Lineage: Eukaryota; Metazoa; Arthropoda; Arachnida; Araneae; Eresidae.